AUGUGUGUGUGUGUGUGUGUUCAUCAUGCUCUUGUGUGUGUGUGUGUGUGCUCGGGGAGGAGCGGCGCCCAUGAUGGCCGCCGGGGGCGAGGGAGAGGGGUUAGAGGGGGAGAGCUCACAGCGGGGCGACGGCGAAGGCGAGGCGACGGCAAGGCGACAGCGACGACGGUGGCGACGGGGACGGGGGCGGCGACGGAGACGAGGGCGGCGACGGGGACGGGGGCGUGCCUGAGGCGGCGACGGAGACGACGGUGGCGACGGGGACGGGGGCGGCGAUGGAGACGAUCGAGGGCGGCGGCGACGUCGAUGGAGACGGAAACAGAGGAACAAACAGAGAGGGAAAACGAAAUUUUCAGACGUGUUGUAUAUAUAGACCCCUCUUUAGUACCGGUUGGAGCCACCAACCGGUACUAA
This 414-nucleotide ribosomal RNA is filed under the name Triticum aestivum (bread wheat). Its description in RNAcentral is "partial small subunit ribosomal RNA". Lineage: Eukaryota; Viridiplantae; Streptophyta; Magnoliopsida; Poales; Poaceae. The record is from RNAcentral.